UACGAACCGUCCUAACGUUAUUCGGAAUUACUGGGCUUAAAGGGUGCGUAGGCGGCUCGGAAAGUUGGGUGUGAAAUCCCUCGGCUCAACCGAGGAAUUGCGCCCAAAACUACCGGGCUCGAGGGAGACAGAGGUGAGCGGAACUUAGGGUGGAGCGGUGAAAUGCGUUGAUAUCCUAAGGAACACCGGUGGCGAAAGCGGCUCACUGGGUCUUUUCUGACGCUGAGGCACGAAAGCCAGGGGAGCGAACGGG
RNAcentral lists this ribosomal RNA (253 nucleotides) under uncultured Blastopirellula sp. RNAcentral describes it as "partial 16S ribosomal RNA". It matches the Rfam family "Bacterial small subunit ribosomal RNA", at positions 524 to 776 of the family's 1533-position model. Lineage: Bacteria; Pseudomonadati; Planctomycetota; Planctomycetia; Pirellulales; Pirellulaceae. The record is from RNAcentral.